AUUGAACGCUGGCGGCAGGCUUAACACAUGCAAGUCGAGCGGUAACAUUUCUAGCUUGCUAGAAGAUGACGAGCGGCGGACGGGUGAGUAAUGCUUGGGAAUAUGCCUUGAAGUGGGGGACAACAGUUGGAAACGACUGCUAAUACCGCAUAAUGUCUACGGACCAAAGGGGGGGAUCUUCGGACCUCUCGCUUCUAGAUUAGCCCAAGUGAGAUUAGCUAGUUGGUGAGGUAAAGGCUCACCAAGGCGACGAUCUCUAGCUGGUUUGAGAGGAUGAUCAGCCACACUGGGACUGAGACACGGCCCAGACUCCUACGGGAGGCAGCAGUGGGGAAUAUUGCACAAUGGGGGAAACCCUGAUGCAGCCAUGCCGCGUGUGUGAAGAAGGCCUUCGGGUUGUAAAGCACUUUCAGUUGUGAGGAAAGGUUAAAUUUUAAUAGAGUUUAACUGUGACGUUAACAACAGAAGAAGCACCGGCUAACUUCGUGCCAGCAGCCGCGGUAAUACGAGGGGUGCAAGCGUUAAUCGGAAUUACUGGGCGUAAAGCGUUCGUAGGCGGUUAUUUAAGCAAGAUGUGAAAGCCCAGGGCUCAACCUUGGAACUGCAUUUUGAACUGGGUAACUAGAGUACUGUAGAGGGUGGUGGAAUUUCCAGUGUAGCGGUGAAAUGCGUAGAGAUUGGAAGGAACAUCAGUGGCGAAAGCGGCCACCUGGACAGAUACUGACGCUGAGGAACGAAAGCGUGGGGAGCGAACAGGAUUAGAUACCCUGGUAGUCCACGCCGUAAACGAUGUCAACUAGCCGUUUGUGUCCUUGAGACGUGAGUGGCGCAGCUAACGCACUAAGUU
RNAcentral lists this ribosomal RNA (847 nucleotides) under uncultured bacterium. RNAcentral's name for it is "bacterial SSU rRNA". It matches the Rfam family "Bacterial small subunit ribosomal RNA", at positions 28 to 866 of the family's 1533-position model. The record is from RNAcentral.